UUUAGAUAUUUUUUUUAGAACCCACUUGUUUUGAGAGUCCCUUGAGUUUCCACUGUAAGGGUGGUUUUCCUUGCCCUUCCAGGCAGGGAAAAUCGCCCUCAACUUCUCUCAACUGGAUGUGGUCGCCCCUCCUCAUAUCUGGUGGAGUUGUAUAGUUUUUGUUCUUCUGGUGGAGGAGCUUGGAUUUAAGAGAGGACUGUUUAUUUUUCUCCUUUUUUAUUGAUUGAUGUAUAUUUAAAAUUUUUUUCUUAGAUCUGUGUUUGUUAUGUUCAGGUGGUGCAGGAGUCUCGCGAUUUGGGAGUAGUGACUUUCUCUGUGCAGGUCAUCGUUGAGAUGAGGCUCAUAUUCAUGGUAGUGGUGAGAGUGCAAAUUAACUAAGGAGGAUUUGUCCUUUGGUUCCGGUGAGCUACGAAGCUUGAAGUCCUGCACCUCAUGGUUAUAAAAGACUGAAAUGCCAUGGCUUUGCUCUUUCUUUCUCUUAGAGUCCAAGUUCUGCCUGUUGCUGCCACUGGAGAUGUUACUAGUGCUGCUGCAUUUUGUGACUCAAUGGGCUUUUUGGAAAGCAAGUUGAGUCUUUCCUACUCAGCGUCUGUGUGUGGUAUUGGGUUUUAUGUAAUAGGGCUUGAUGUUCUGUGGGCUUAAUUGUAUUUUUAUAGAUCUGAAUUAUGUAGCUAUUAGCUCUUUUUUGAGCUUUAAUGGAAGAUUUUUUCAAUUUAAAAAAAAAAAAAAAAAAAAAAA
Molecule: unclassified non-coding RNA, 738 nt
Filed under: Hevea brasiliensis (rubber tree)
Lineage: Eukaryota; Viridiplantae; Streptophyta; Magnoliopsida; Malpighiales; Euphorbiaceae
Source: RNAcentral